Molecule: long non-coding RNA, 559 nt
Filed under: Homo sapiens (human)
Lineage: Eukaryota; Metazoa; Chordata; Mammalia; Primates; Hominidae
Description: non-protein coding lnc-ATRIP-7:2
Source: RNAcentral
CGACUGUAGUCCCAGCUACUCCAGAGGCUGAGGCAAGAGCAUGGCGUGAACCCGGGAGGCGGAGCUUGCAGUGAGCCGAGAUUGCUCCACUGCACUCCAGCCUAGGCGACAGAGCGAGACUCCACAACAAAACUGGAUCCCACUCAAUGCAGUUAAGGUGCCAAAAGUUCCCUGAUAUAACACAGAGGAAAGAAUCCAAAGCCUUAAGAAGAUGUAUUUAUUUUUAUUCAUUCAAAAUAAAUGUUGAGGCCGGGCGCGGUGGCCCGCGCCUGUAAUCCCAGCAUUUUGGGAGGCCGAAGCAGGUGGAUCACCUGAGGUCAGGAGUUCAAGAUCAGACUGGCCAACAUGGUGAAACCCCAUCCCUACAAAAAUACAAAAAGUAGCUGGGCAUGAUGGCGGGUGCCUGUAAUCCCAGCUACUCAGGAGAGCAAGACUCCAUCUCAAAAAAUAAAUACACACAGGCUGGGUGCAGUGGCUCAUGCCUGUAAUCCAUGAUGGCUAUUAUUUCCCAGUAACCCAAAAUGCUACUCAACAUAAUAAUAUAAUUGCCCUUUCUAGG